UACGGAGGGUGCAAGCGUUAUCCGGAUUCACUGGGUUUAAAGGGUGCGUAGGAGGGCAGGUAAGUCAGUGGUGAAAUCCCCGAGCUUAACUUGGGAACUGCCGUUGAUACUAUCUGUCUUGAAUAUUGUGGAGGUAAGCGGAAUAUGUCAUGUAGCGGUGAAAUGCUUAGAUAUGACAUAGAACACCAAUUGCGAAGGCAGCUUACUACACAAUCAUUGACUCUGAUGCACGAAAGCGUGGGGAUCAAACAGG
RNAcentral lists this ribosomal RNA (253 nucleotides) under uncultured bacterium. Its description in RNAcentral is "partial 16S ribosomal RNA". It matches the Rfam family "Bacterial small subunit ribosomal RNA", at positions 524 to 776 of the family's 1533-position model. The record is from RNAcentral.